Molecule: non-coding RNA, 1221 nt
Organism: Salmo salar (Atlantic salmon)
Lineage: Eukaryota; Metazoa; Chordata; Actinopteri; Salmoniformes; Salmonidae
Source: RefSeq, a predicted model, not a curated record
CAGUAGAAUAAACUUUUCCCUAGACACAAAAUGAGAAAGGUGUGGUGCCCAACAACGCAGAGUGCCAUGGAGCUGCUUGAUAAGGCCCAGCUCGGGUCGCCAAGCCAGAUAAUCAUACACACCUGAAGCAAUGACCUGCGUGCUCAGCAGGAGAGGUGGUGACUUCACUACGGGGAGUGAUUGAAAAAGCCUCCGCAAUCUUCCUCAACUCAUGAUGUCAACUUCCACCCUGCCACAAUCCAAAGAAUAAAUGUCAGCCUCUCCCAGGACUGUGCCCUGUGACCCAAUGUACACCUGGCCAACCAUCCCACCCUCAAUCUGGACUGGCCAGACCCCACCAACGAAAUGAGUGACAUUAAACACAUGCUGAGUCUACUAUGCUCACAUGUGAUAGGUCGAGGGUCAUGGGUUUUCAUGGUGAUGGUGACUAUGAGGAAAUAAAGGACUGCUCCCUACAGUCCAGCAUCUACGCCAACUUACCCACAAGCCCCUCUGACUCUCUCAACUCCUCUAGCGUCAACUUCCACAAGAACCCCAGCUACCCCAAUGAAGCCACUGUCGCCAUCGCGAAAGAGGGCACUUCUUCUGGUGACUAAGCCACUGUCAACAUUGGUCAAAGCCCUGAGGCUCCUCCCAUCUACUAUACAGUCAGUAAACUCAGAGACACCUGACUAACUGACAACCAAUCACAAGGGACAUAUACACACUGGCAACAAAUCAUAAGUGACCUGUUAUUAUAAUAGUUAUUGUCACAUCUGCUCCUGCCACACCCCCUAGUGGACAUCCGGUGUCUCCUUGACCUGCAGCCACUCCUCCAGUACACCCUCUCUCUCGCCCCCUCCCUUUCUGUUUGUGUGUGAUUGUGUGGUUGGAGACAGGUGUGCUGGAGCCAGAGUGGAUCCUCACCAGCUGCAACCCGUUCCAUUAUCAAGACCUCUACAAAUACUCAGUCCUGCCACUUCCACUCUGCCGGAUCGCAUUCUCCGUUCAUUUUACUCCUCUGACUCCUGUCUCCUGUUCCACAUCUCACCACCCUGCUACCCUGUUCUGGAUUCAACUCAUCAUCACUCCCUUGGAUUCCCCUCCAGACCUGUUCACCCUGUCCCAACCCAGCUCACUCCAACCUCAGCCUCCACAUCUGGUUUCCAACAACUCAUCCAAGCUUCCCUGGAUCUGCCCUUCAUCUCUCCCUGUGUUACAAUAAAUAUCUUGGUUCAUUCA